UAUCAUUAGUGGAUAAGUGUAUUGACAUAUUACUUAAUGCAUCUUGCUAAAUAGGCUAAAUAUUUGUGCAACUUUAUUCCACUUGCUGCUUAUUUGUGUUUGUAGACAUUAUGCACACAUUAUCUUGUUCUGGUAAAACUACACCUCGCAUGACCUGACGUUUAGUAUUUUUCUCGCAUAAAUUGCUUGGCUGCAAGUCCAUUUUAUUUUUGCCUAUUACACAGUAUGUUUCUUUUUUAUUUUGGUUUUAUUUGUUUGGAACUGUUUCUUAUGCUGUAGCAUAUAUUUCCCUGUUUUCCUUUCUGCUUAUGAUACACACAUGUGCUGUUUUUGUCCAUGUAAGAAUUCGAAGUGUAGUGUGCCAUAUAUCUCAAAGGUCUAAGCACGCAGUGUGCAUACCAUUGUUUAACAUUGAUGUUUACAAUUAUGUCUGUCUUGUUCUCAGAAUAACUGUCACUGGCACAUUUGAUGAACUCGAAUUUCUUGAAAUGAAAUAGGAAGGCCAGUAUUCAUUGUGCUGCAGUUACUUAAGUAGUGAGGUAUUUUCUGGGUACACGUGCACUUACUUCAAGAUGACGACACUCCACCUCAAGAACAGCCUCUCCUCAAUGAUAAGUAGCGAGAUUAAAUGAAAGGAAGAUAUCACAUCCGUAACCAGACUGAUACUGUGUUUUCCUUUCAUUUAACCUCCUUCUGCAUUUAAGGAAGCAUUGAUAUGCCCAAUAAAUGUUUUUGUUAAAUUUC
Non-coding RNA from Dermacentor andersoni, 744 nucleotides. NCBI's taxonomy places the organism in Eukaryota, Metazoa, Arthropoda, Arachnida, Ixodida, Ixodidae. The record is from RefSeq and is a predicted model, not a curated record.